Molecule: non-coding RNA, 942 nt
Organism: Lolium perenne
Lineage: Eukaryota; Viridiplantae; Streptophyta; Magnoliopsida; Poales; Poaceae
Source: RefSeq, a predicted model, not a curated record
GGAAAUAGUGGAAGUUAAUUUGUUCUUAGGAAAUUAAUAGGAAUAAGCAAAUCCUUUGGAUUUUUUACACGUGAAUGAAAUCAUGUGUUAUGUAGUCUGUACACGUGAAUGUGUAUGAUAUUGCUCCCUUUUUACUGAAUUAGUGGAAGUUGAGCUUGAAGGCGUGGAAAAGGAUUGAUUUCACAUUCUGUUCGUAUGUAUUUGCUCAGCAACCUCUGUAUGUUCUCAGUUAAGUAUUGGAUAUGCUCUGGCUAUGCAACCUCUGUAUGUUCUCAGUUAAGUAUAUAUUGGACAUGUAAACAGAAAAGAUUCUGACAUGAUGGGGGAAGUUCUUCCAACAAGUGGGGAGACAGAGACAACCAAUUAAAAAGUGCAUACAACUUAGAUGUGUGAUUAUGUACCUCCACUCUCCCUGGUGAUCCCAACACAGGUUGUAAACUCUCCUUGAUGAUCCACAUGAUUAUAGCAAUACAUACAAAUGAGAAAUACUACCAGACAAGUAUCCUCACAAAUGAACUUUUUCAAAUGAUGGGAAGACAACUUAGAGGUGUGGUUACGUACCUUCACUCUCCCUGAUGAUUCCGGGAGAUCUCUCGCAUAACAAUGGUUGAGGGUACCCAUUAUAUGCACGCACCAGAAAUCGUCCAGCCAUGUUUCAGGCAAGUACCGAUAUGGUUGAUCAGGAAAUGAUGAAGUUUCCUUUGUUCUGUGAUGGUGCGAGAUCAGGCCAUGAUGGUGUUUCCUUUGUUUCUGUAAUGAUGUGGUUUCCUUUGCUCUUGCCCUCAAAUUGUGUGUAGUUUCCUUCAAAUGAUGGUGCGGUAGAGAUGCAGAAAUAAUGGCGAGGUGGGAGGGUAGAAUCGUCAUAUUGAAAAUAUGUAGGACGACCAAAAGGACGACGAAAUAGGGGGAGAAGGGGGAACAUGUUCCUUCUUUUUAAGUAGU